Long non-coding RNA from Hippopotamus amphibius kiboko, 2043 nucleotides. RefSeq lists it as uncharacterized. The transcript has 3 exons. The record is from RefSeq and is a predicted model, not a curated record. NCBI's taxonomy places the organism in Eukaryota, Metazoa, Chordata, Mammalia, Artiodactyla, Hippopotamidae.
GAGCUGGACUCAGCCCCCGCCCCACGUUGGCUCGCGGGCCCCCGCAGGUGUGGGGGGGACGGCCGAGCGCUGUUUGUUGCGCGCGCGCUGUUCUCGGUUGCUGGGCUUUCUCUGGUCCUUCCGCUAGCCCCGGAUCCUCACCCCUCUCGGUAUCUGUGAUUGUAUAUCUUCAGAGAAGAGUCCUACAAGUGAGAUUGCUAGAUUAAAAGGUUCCUGAUCAGAGAUUUUAAGUGUCUCCUUGGCAGGUGGUGCGUGGCAUACAUCUCUGUGUUCACACAGGGCCCAGCAGAGCUCUUUGGAGUAAGGAGUGCUCAAUACGAAAAUUAAUGGAUUUUCCCUAAGGCUAUUAGUGUGUGUGACUUUUUUGAAAGGGUGGGAUAGUUCAACAAAAUUGGAUUUUGCUGUAUGUAAUGGUUGGAAACUACAUUAAGUUUAUGAUGACAUCAGCAAAUGAAUAAUGAAACAGUUGUCUGGAAUUUUAAAAAAUUACCUGCAUUAUAUAAAGACUGGCUACCAGCACGGAUGAUACAUACUGAAAGUCCCUUUUUCUAAAGACUGAAGAUUAUGUUUUUGCACUUAAAUGAAACAGUUGCCUGAACAUUUUACAUUUGUUUCCUUAUCUGCGUUGAGUCUUGGACUGUCUCUGUGAGGUCACACAUGUUGAUGAAAAUUGGAAAAUAAGGUAACCAUCAAGAUGUUGAUAUAAUCACAACAUAAAUGAAAGAAUAAGCAUGCAGUUGUAGUCAGAGAGCUUGUACCUAUUGAUUUGCAUCACAAUAUUAUAUUUACAUGGUAAAUUUACAUAGUAAAGCCAUUCCAAUUGUUGUGAUAUUGCCCAGCCACUAAAAUUCAUGAUCUUGAAGAUAAUGUGGCAACAUGGGACAAAAUGUUUGUGUUCUAAUAUUUCACUAGGAAAUCAGUAUUCAUUGUCAAAUAAUUUUAUAGAAAAGAAUUGUGCAUAGAAAAGGAGCAAAAAGGAAAUAUACCAAAAUAAUAACAAUGGCUUUGUUAAGGUGGUAGCAGUCUGAGUGCUUCUUUCUUAUCUCUAGUUAUAUUACUUCUGUAACAGAAAACAAAUUUACAAGUGCAAAGAAAAUGAGUUCUAUAAAAGAAAGUAUAGUAAACAUGUUAUUCAUGGCAGCCUCAAAUCUGCUGAAAAACCACCCCACGCCUUAUAGUUCCCCACAUUGUGAAUUCUAUCCUCCCGAAGUAAAUUCUAAAAUUUAACAUUUUGUAACCUCCCUAGCCUCUGAGUCUAAGGUGAGGUCCUGUAAUUAGUUUCUGCCUCUCAGUUGUAUCUGUCAGAAACUACCUGUAGAGCAGACAGGGCCCUGACGUCCACUCUGCUGGCACAGUUGGCUUCAAUGUCAUGGUCCUGGGGUUAGCUAUGAGAACAGUAUCUUCCCUAUUGCAACAAAGACUGGUGGGUUCUAGGGCUGGUGGUAGCUUGGCCUAGAACCUGUUCCUCCUGCCUUUCCAAUGAUUACCUGGACUUUGUAAUCCCCCUUCAUGAAUCCCUUCUCAUUUAAAUGACCUAGACUUGAUUCUUUGUCUACACCUAAGAAUGCUAACAGGAGGCUAACAAAGUAGAAUUCACCUAAAAAAAGAGGAGGUGACAUAAUUAAAGACGAGCAUUCUGAACUUCAAAAGAAUAUUGUGAUCAAAUAAAAGACCUUUUUAGCACAUAAAUCUCUUGAGUGUCAUUUCUGGGCAAAGCAUCUAAGAGCUGGUGUGAGACCCUGUGGCUCUCUUUUCUGUGGCAGCAACCAUGGGGCCUCAUGUUCAGAUGAUGCAGCUACAAGAUGUCAGAUUCCCCAUCAGCCCAGGUACUUGAGAGACUGUGUGAAAGAGAGCCCCCCACUGACUCAGAGAGUACAGUUAAUGUGAGCAAGAAAUAAACCUCUGUUAGGUGAGGCCACUGAGAUUUGAGAGUUAAUUUGCUACCAUGGCAUAGCCUCGUAUAACAGAACCUGAUUAAUACACAGUGGUAUCAAAAAUGGGAUGUGUUUAAUGAUCAAAAUCAAUAAAUAUAUGUUUGAAAAC